Papaver somniferum (opium poppy) is the source of this 1364-nucleotide long non-coding RNA. RefSeq lists it as uncharacterized. The transcript is spliced from 3 exons. NCBI's taxonomy places the organism in Eukaryota, Viridiplantae, Streptophyta, Magnoliopsida, Ranunculales, Papaveraceae. The record is from RefSeq and is a predicted model, not a curated record.
AAAAUAAAACCCUUAAAAAAACCUAAAAACUAUUCUUCUCUGCCGCCCUUCAUCUCUCGCCUCUUUCUUUCUCUGGUCUCCUUUGAUUUAUUUUGUCUUUUGAUUUCUCAUUGUGUUAUUGAUUAACAGGAUCGAAGAAGUAAGACACAUAUAUGUAACAGACAUAUAUUAAUUACGGUUUUUGUUUUGCUUGAACAACAGUAUCGAGUUUUGUUAUUGCCUGAACGAUUUUUUGCUAUUGCAAACCCUAACCCCUUCUCUGUCAUCGUGCAUGUAUGAUUUUACUUUGCUUUUGUUUUGUUUCCUGAUCUAUAUCUUUGGAUUUCUAGGUUUGCAAUCAAAUUUCUGUAUAACUCAAGAAAGUUUGAUUUUUUUGUUUUUUUUUUAAUACUUAUGCUCAUGUUUUUUUUAAUGAGGGUUAUUUCGACAUAUUAUAGUACAAUAGUAUUGCUGCAUGUAGAUAUUGAUGCUGGAGUUGAAUAUUUUGCAGCGAAAGAAAAGAUGCAGCAGUUGUAGUGUGGCAGAUAUAUCCUAAUCGUUGGAAGUACUACUCAUGCCUUAUAAUAUGCAAGGUAACUCAUCGAGAUGUUUUGUUGGUUGUGGUGGAAGCAGUUGUUUGUAAGGUUGUCGAGUACGAUAUAAUUACUGCUCUUGCGAAAGGUUAACACUGUUGUUCUUGCUACUUCUGCGACUCAAUCGAUUAUUACUAAAACCCAAGAGAGGUGGAAGCUGUGGAAGCUGGUCUGAUGGAAUACAAACUAGACAUCAUCAUUAGUGUGCAUCCCCUUAUGCAACACAUUCCCUUAUGGGUGCUUAAAUGGCAGAGCCUUCAGAAGAAGGUUGUAUUUGUUACUGUUAUUACAGAUGUUAACACAUGCCAUUGCACACGGUGAUCUGUUUUACUCUUAUCAGUAUGACUUAAUGCCUCUGCUGCUCCCAUAUAUUCAAGAAUAGUUUUAAAUUGGCUUUCAAAUGAGUGAAAUAUUUUGCAAGAAGUAUAUUUUAGACCAUGCGUUUGAUGCACAUAAGAGGGAUCAGUUUAUUUAUAAUAUCAUACUUCGCUUGAGGAUGAUCUCUGAGCUUAUACAAUCAUCUUUGGUAUGAGUGAUAUCGCUGUUGCCUUGAGCUGUUGAAGCCUGCUAAGUGUUUGGUAUACUUGAGACGGAGUUAAAUGUUGGUAUUUGAAUUUUCGAAAGUAGAGAUGGUCGUGUCAUGGUUGGUGUUGCAAAACCAGGGUUUGCUGCAUGGUGCUGGGAAGAGAUAAUUGUCUAAUUCUUUAUCUAUGAACUGAACUAAAUAAAACCCAUUGUAGUUAAAUAUGAUUUAAAACUCGUUAAUUGAAAGUUUGGAUAUUUAUGUGUUUA